CAGAACUUUGUGCUUUGUGCAUGAAGGUGCCAUGCUAACUAGUUAAGAUGGCCGAGGGCUAGCUGAGCUGGCAUUAGGAGGCUGAGCUGAGGCCUUUUUCCCUAGGAGGCUGAGCGGAGGCUGAAGACCAGAGCCAAAGCCUGUGACAUGGAAGAUGAACCUCAAAAUCUGAACCUCAGGGCCAAACGUAAGCCAUGGCAAUCCUAGGGUCUGCAUCCACUUUCCACCAUGAAUUUAAUAACAUGAGUUAGAAAAACAACAUGGGACACCACAGUUUGUUCACAAUUUUAUCCAGAGGGGAAAAAUGUUAAAAAAUAAAUAAAAUC
Non-coding RNA from Pogona vitticeps (central bearded dragon), 326 nucleotides. Lineage: Eukaryota; Metazoa; Chordata; Lepidosauria; Squamata; Agamidae. The record is from RefSeq and is a predicted model, not a curated record.